RNAcentral lists this ribosomal RNA (301 nucleotides) under uncultured bacterium. RNAcentral's name for it is "partial 16S ribosomal RNA". It matches the Rfam family "Bacterial small subunit ribosomal RNA", at positions 509 to 807 of the family's 1533-position model. The record is from RNAcentral.
CAGCAGCCGCGGGAAUACGUAGGUGGCAAGCGUUGUCCGGAAUUAUUGGGCGUAAAGGGCUCGCAGGCGGUUUCUUAAGUCUGAUGUGAAAGCCCCCGGCUCAACCGGGGAGGGUCAUUGGAAACCGGGAAACUUGAGUGCAGAAGAGGAGAGUGGAAUUCCACGUGUAGCGGUGAAAUGCGUAGAGAUGUGGAGGAACACUAGUGGCGAAGGCGACUCUCUGGUCUGUAACUGACGCUGAGGAGCGAAAGCGUGGGGAGCGAACAGGAUUAGAUACCCGUGUAGUCCCUGUCUCUUAUAC